ACCGUAAAAGUAAAGAAAUUUUAUUUUUAANUUUGGGAAUNNNUUUAGGNNNUGGAAAAAUAAACUUCUUUUAAAAGGUAAAAUUUUAAAGGGGNUAAUUUUUUCUNNUUNUUAGAAAUUUUAAAAACUUAGAAGUGAAACUAGGAUUAGAUACCCUAUUAUUAUUAAGCAAAAAGAAAUNUAGGUAGUAAUAGAAGACUUGAAACUUAAAGAAUUUGGCGGUGUUUUAAUCUAACCAGAGGAACUUGCAUUUUAACUCGAAAUUACACGUUUUAUCUCACUUAAAUUUAUGUUUGUAUAUCGUCGUAAAAAUAAAACUUUAAAGUGUAUAUUUAAAUUUAUUAAANUUAAAAAUUACAGAUCAAGGUUCAGCGNUUAUUUAAGNGAAAUGUGAGUUACAAUACUUNUUAAAGUAAAUGGACAUUUUUCUNNGAAAAGNGGAUUUUGAAGGUGGAUUUGGAAGU
RNAcentral lists this ribosomal RNA (464 nucleotides) under Buthus sp. A DP-2013. Its description in RNAcentral is "partial 12S ribosomal RNA". Lineage: Eukaryota; Metazoa; Arthropoda; Arachnida; Scorpiones; Buthidae. The record is from RNAcentral.